CGGACGGGUGAGUAAUGUCUGGGAAACUGCCUGAUGGAGGGGGGUAACUACUGGAAACGGUAGCUAAUACCGCAUAACGUCGCAAGACCAAGAGGGGGACCUUCGGGCCUCUUGCCAUCGGAUGUGCCCAGAUGGGAUUAGCUAGUAGGUGGGGUAAAGGCUCACCUAGGCGACGAUCCCUAGCUGGUCUGAGAGGAUGACCAGCCACACUGGAACUGAGACACGGUCCAG
RNAcentral lists this ribosomal RNA (231 nucleotides) under uncultured bacterium. RNAcentral's name for it is "partial 16S ribosomal RNA". It matches the Rfam family "Bacterial small subunit ribosomal RNA", at positions 99 to 334 of the family's 1533-position model. The record is from RNAcentral.